This 444-nucleotide ribosomal RNA is filed under the name Oniscus asellus. RNAcentral describes it as "partial 16S ribosomal RNA". It matches the Rfam family "Bacterial large subunit ribosomal RNA", at positions 1889 to 2598 of the family's 2925-position model. The record is from RNAcentral. Lineage: Eukaryota; Metazoa; Arthropoda; Malacostraca; Isopoda; Oniscidae.
AGCUUAGUUUAUUUCACUAAGUAUAACCUGCUCACUGAGAAUUAAAAAGCCGCAGUAUUUUAACUGUGCUAAGGUAGCAUAAUCAUUUGUUACUUAAUUAGUAACUGGAAUGAAUGGGAGGACAAAUAAUUGACUUUUUUAGUUUAUUUAGAAAUUAAUAUAAGAGUUAAAAAGUUCUUUUGUCUUAGAAAGACGACAAGACCCUAAAACCUUUACUAGAGUUAGUUUUGCUGGGGCGGUAAACAGUAUAACGCGGGGGUUAAAAACACCGUGAAUGAGAUUAUCCAUCCUUAAAUUGAAUAAAAAAAGGUACUUUAGGGAUAACAGAACAAUCUCUGCUUAGAGUUCUUAUCGACGUAGAAGUUUAUCACCUCGAUGUUGAAUUGAGGAAACUUUAUGGGGCAGCACUCAUAAAAGUGAGUCUGUUCGACUUGUAUCCCCUCA